UCUCUGGUAGUAUAUCGGUUAGUACACGCGCCUGUCAUGUAUAUUUCUAGAAGAUCAUGCGCGCGAAAGCUGGGUUCGACUCCCAGCCAGAGAG
This is a non-coding RNA of Desarmillaria tabescens, 94 nucleotides long. The record is from the annotation of a RefSeq genome assembly. NCBI's taxonomy places the organism in Eukaryota, Fungi, Basidiomycota, Agaricomycetes, Agaricales, Physalacriaceae.